Non-coding RNA from Dujonia railenensis, 139 nucleotides. NCBI's taxonomy places the organism in Eukaryota, Fungi, Ascomycota, Pichiomycetes, Serinales, Debaryomycetaceae. The record is from the annotation of a GenBank genome assembly.
UCUUGUUCUUUAUCGCCAGAAGAUCGAUUUCUAUCGUACAUGGUUCUUGCCUUUUACCAGAACCAUCCGGGAAUCGUCUUUGCUAAUGGUGUAUCGUUAGUUUUUGGAAUCCAAUUUGAUCGUAAAGAUUUAUCUUAUG